Long non-coding RNA from Gallus gallus (chicken), 5347 nucleotides. RefSeq lists it as uncharacterized. NCBI's taxonomy places the organism in Eukaryota, Metazoa, Chordata, Aves, Galliformes, Phasianidae. The transcript is spliced from 2 exons. The record is from RefSeq and is a predicted model, not a curated record.
GGCAGAGAUGUUUCUGCUAUUUUGCCUCCUACUGCAGCCUCUCUGUACGCCUGUAUGCAUUUCCUAUACAUGUAGGACUGAGCUGUGGAACUGUACGUACUCUGUACUGCACUGAGGCUGUUUUUUAGGCCUCAAUAGAACUGAGCAACGCAUAAUCUGAGCCCAGAGUCACAGCUUCAGCUACACUGUCAACAGCUGAACGGAAUACUUUUUUUUAACUGCUGUGCAGGAAGCUUAAAUAUUAUAGAUUUUCGCACGUUCUUGUUAGAGAAACUAUCAACCCCCCUCUCCUCUUCUGCUCUCCCCAGCCCCCUUACAAAGGGUGAUUACAUGCCUGUCAUUUCGGGACCACGAGGGUAACAAUCUACAUAUCUACACUGUGCAGAUUUCUCAAUUAUACUGUAGAAGUGCCAGUGUCUAUUGAUCUCCUUUGUAAUCGCGACCAUCUCUUACGCAUAACUACCUGUCUGCCCUGUCAACAGGCAGCCAAAAAUGAGCUCCAGAUGAUGUGCUGUUUUUUCCGACGUGAGCAUGUGUUUGGAGAGCUGCUAGUUUCACCACUUCCCUGGUCCCCCUGUUUUGCAGGCAUGGGCACACCACGCUGCCUCCUGUCACUGCAGGCUCUUCUCGUAAGGAGGAGCUGGUUGCUGGAGCCGGCAGCCCAUUUCACAGGUCUCCAUUGUGCAGCUCUUCUUGCAUGGCUUUUCUCUCCUUGCUUUCCCUACCUCCCGUCUCCCUCCCUCUUAGUGAACCUGUUGGCGGCCCUGAUCUUCAACUCUCCACACCCGCCCAGAUCUGUCUUACCUGUAAAUUCAACUUCUGCUUGCAUCCACGGGUUUCCCAUGCAUCUUGUAGGCACACCUGAAAAUGGCCUACUUCUGCAGUAACUUCUGACUGUGGUCACUCUGUUUUCCAGCUACCUGAACGCACAGAGCUCUGCACCUGAUUUGUUUUGUGGGUUGUUUUUUUUUCCAGUAUUUCGGGAACUGCCUGAUGUUUGUGUCCCCUUCCACCACUCAGUGUCUCCCUACCAGAUUCUAGGCCAUGUUAACGAGCACCCUGUACCCUUGCCUCAGUUUGGCUCUCUGGGUUCAUUUCUCUUUCACUGAUACUUUUCCAGCUGCAUUCAGUAGACCAGUGCUGACUUUUGUCUGUGUCUUUUUAACAUGUCUGACCAGAGAUAAUGGAAAAAGACUUUUAUGCAGUUCUCUGAAACAGCCUUUGCCCUGUAUCUCCUGCUUCAGCAGCUUCAUCCCCAGAUGAUGGCUAAUCCCCAUGCCUAAUGCUUCCCUUCCAUUAGUAUCCAACUAUCUUCAAGCUGACUUUCUUCCUUGUGCCUGUACUGUCCCCUUGGUGCUGCCAUUUUCAGGUGUAGAGUUCUCUUCCCAGCUCCUCCUAAACUGAGAAACCACAUUGGCCUAGUGCAGGACACAGGCAGAGCCUGCCUGACCACCUGGAGCUGCCCUGUUUGUCUCCUGUCUGUGGCUCUUGAGCCCUUCGUCUCGCUCUCUUGCAGUAGCCAUUACCUUAGGACCACUUCCAGCACUGAUGCUGAUGUUCUUAAUGGGAAGACAUUUGGUUUGUAUGGAAAACUGCUAGGCUGCUACCACAGCUGUGUACGUGCUAGUUCACUGCCCAUGUGCCAUCCUGUCCUUUUGCUGAUCAGGAGGCGCGUGCCAAUGAGCAGAACUGACGUGUCAUCCCAUGCCUACAGCUAGCAGGUCAUCUCCCAGAGGCUGGGGGCGUGCUUGCUGCUGUGCCUGGCUACCUGCUCCUGUGCAGUUAUCCAGAGCCCGUCACUGGGGAGGGAGUCUCGGGGCACCUCCCAAACAUUGCUCACCACCACCUCCCUCAAGGAGAUCGUUGGUGGAGAUAGGGGAAUGCCCGCCCUGCUGCAACUGGUGUUGUGGCUGCCCUGUUAUUGCUGGCAACCGUGGAGGUAGACUGCGCUGCCAAGUUUCUUCACUGCGGUGUUCUGAUGACAAAGCCUAGAUUAAAACCUAUUAAAAAUACAAUAUAGUCAAAGUAAAACCAAUGCAAAUAUUUUAUGAUUAAGUAAUCGAAUUCUCUGUGCUGUGGAAUGGUGCGAUGCGUGCACAACAUGGCUGAUUCUAGUGCUUCACUGUCUGAGUUGGUCAUAUGUGGGUUCAGUUUAACACUAAUGGCGAGGCCAAGCACGAAGAAGAUGUGGGCAUCCCCACCCUAUAAUUGAUGUAGAGCUGCGCUGAAAAGGAAGUGUUCUCAUAGUGUACCAAAGGAAAUGGUUGCAAGUCUGAAUGCAGUUCUUAUACAUUUUGCCAAGUGUAGUGUUAGCUGUGAAGUUCAAGUUCACAGGUGGAAGAAUGAGAAAAGACAAGUACCUCGGAAAAAGUAAAUUCUCUGAUAAUGCUGCAGAGAACAUAUGAUCGUAGCAGAAAGGAAUUUUUAAAAGUCUGGGGAAAAAGCUUAUUCUUUAAGCUCUGCCAAUGAAAAAAAAAAAAUGAGCAGGAUCUUUAAAUACGCCUAAUAAACUUACAGGUUUGGGGCGGGAAAAGAGAUCAGUUUGUAGAGUGUUAGCCUGCUGGCAAGGCCGGCUGCACAAACAGCUCCGCGCUCUGUUGGAACAGCAGGUAAGUCUCUGCAUACUCUGCCUUUGCUGGAGAUCUGGAAAGCAGAGCGUUAAGGUGCACUGCAAGGCAAGCAGCACUAGUGAACCGCUCUCCUUUUUGAACUGUGUAAAUGAAAACACAGCUCUGGCACCAUUAGCUCUGAUGGCCCCAGCCACCAUCCUCACUGGCACCCUGAUCUCACCGGUUAGAGAAGGGGAAGAGCUGUAAUUCAUGAGGCUCCACAACUGCUCCCUCUGUGUGGGUAUCUCAAAAAGCUGACGAAGGAUUUUGGAAGCGGACUUCUGAAGAAACGCUGUUUGGCUAUCUGCUCUACUAUAACAGCAGGGUUGGCUUUUUACGCUCUUAUCUCCCGGACAGGGUGAGGGGUGUUGGUACAUUUGUGUGUAUGCACAUGUCUGUAUGUACGUGUGUGUGCAUCUCCCACCCCCUGCCCAAACACGUAUGUGUAGAAGGCUUGAAAAACCACCGCUGCUGGAUGAAUGGAGACCAGUCGCUUGUGCUCAAGCGUCUUUGCUCGGUCGGUAGUUUCAGAUAAUGUUCUGCAUGUUGCUUUCUCACUCUGUUUUCCAACUGAAACCAAGGUGACAACUCGUUGUCAAUCAGGGAGGCUAUUGGGUGCCUUGCUGAGAUUUUGGGCUUUUUUCUGUUGAGCUCCCCGUGAGGAAUGCAAUGACUCUAAUACAAGGGAGGCCUCCAGCAGCCCUUUCCUUCUCACCUCAAAGAGAGUGCUUAAGAACAUAUGUCCCGGUAACAGGAAGGACGAAAAAAAAGCAAUUUAGGAGCAAAAAAUAAAAAGGCAAUUCUAUUUACGCACAUAAAGGUGACUGUUUGUUGUGGCCUUUUUAGUUUUAGAUCUCCUCCCUUCUUCUGAUGGAAUUUUUGUUUUUGUUGGUCUUGAAACUACCUUUGUCAUCCUUACGAUUUUCUCCUUUGCUCAGAUUUUCAAUUUCUUUGAAAAGUAAUAUUCCAUUUUUCUCCCCCCCACCCCCCCGCAGUUGCACUCUGGGUUUCUACAAUUUUCCUUUUCAAUCUUCUCCUCAUACAUUCUCUGCCCACUCCCUCCUGCCUCUCCCACCUUCACCGCACCUCCAGUGUCUCCAGCACAGCUCCAGCUCUCACAAAACAACAGCAAUCAUAUAACAAUUUACAACCAUUAGCCAAUUGAGUGUAACACCUCUCUACAAGGUAGGUAAUCAUUUACGGAACACUGCUAAGCUACUGCUGUUUCGUGUGACAGAUUGUUCAGCUGCUUCUGCUCUCUCAAAGGGCCCCAGACAACAAUAGUAAGGCUGUGAAAGCGCAGGGUUGGGAUGAACAGCUAGAGCAGUGUGUGGGGGACUACAGACAUCUGCUAACACACUGCUGAGCUCUGAACUGUCCUUUUACUCCUGGUUUAGCGAGCAUUAAAUGUGUUCUGUGUCUCUAUUGUCAAACUGGCUGCAUCUUGAGGGGAAAAAAAGGAAGGAAAAAAAGCAAUGAGAAGUCUGUGGCCCGCUUGGAGCUCGUCAUGCAACACUUCAUAAAGCAGCACGCAGCAACUGGUCUGUCUUCUUCGUCCUGUGACCACAAUGCUGUAAUCCUGUAGGCUAGGCUGUGCUGAAGUAGGGAGAGGCCAUUGUAUCUGCUGAAGGCAGUCGGUGAGUACACGAAUGGCACGAUGUUACACGGGGACUGCCAACCUGAAAUGCUGGGUGGCAGGAAGACAUACAAGCCAGAGGCCCGGAAAGCACACGGACUCAUUGUGGAGCACAGCUUCCAGCUGUGCCAUCCCUACAGGUGUCUGUGAAUCGCGCUGGAUGUCCACCUGCACCUUCAGUUCAGGUGAGCACACAGACAUUACCACAAGUCUGGUCUCGUGCUACUUUGCUAAGUGCUUUUGAGAGUCGCACCCAACGUUAAAAAGAGAUGGAUGUGGGAGAUUAAGAUAAAUGCACAAAACACUUUCAUUUUCUUUAUUUUCAAUCGAUACUGUAUGAAUACAAAGUUUCUAGAAAGCUACAAAAAUUCUACCACUUUAUCAAGAAGGCAUCAAAAUGUGUCACUUUGCAAAGACAUGAAAACACCUGCAGUAACCGACACAAAAAUAGCAUUUUUAGAGUGAUGAAAUAAUUGCACUUAACUGUCAUGGAUAUUAAAGUUAUCACACAUAUGUACCGCGAAAGCUAGAAUACAUUUUUUUUUUUUACAAAGCACUUUAUAAAAAAAUUCUCUGCACACAAAACCUAUAAUUUUCAUAUUACUAUCAUACUAAAGAUAAAUUCACUUUAAAGCCAACACUUAAAACAUUUUAAACAAAAAAAAAAAAAAAAAAAAAAAGGUACCAGUACCUACACACAGACAAUAACAAAUACAAGAAUACUGUACUGCCAAGAGGUUUGACUGAAACUCCUUUUGAAAGCUUCUGCAAAUACGUUAAGAAAACAUUGGAGAACGUUUGCUUUUUUUUUAUUUCCAAGAGCCUUCCCUCCCUGUCUAACCUAGAGGUACUUUAUCAUCAAAAGGCAAGUUCUACAUCAAAAGUUACCAGCAGCAGUACAAUAUUAAAGUAACCACUGACCAUAUAUGAAUAUGCUUAAGUCACAAACCCAUUUUAUACACAUUACACAAAUAAACAUAAAGUGAGAAUUCCAUUAAGUCAUUUACAAAUGUGAACAAAUGCACAUGGCAAAAAAAAAAAGAAAAGAAAAAAAAAAAGAAAAAAAAAAAGAAAAAAAAAAGAAAAUCCAAACAAAACAAAA